RNAcentral lists this long non-coding RNA (288 nucleotides) under Rattus norvegicus (Norway rat). RNAcentral describes it as "long non-coding RNA NONRATT031881". The record is from RNAcentral. Lineage: Eukaryota; Metazoa; Chordata; Mammalia; Rodentia; Muridae.
ACCUGCCUCAAGUCUGCAACCAGCCUUCGUUCUUCCUGCAGCCCUUGCUCCCUUCCAUGCUGUCAACAUCUCAGCAGCUGUCCUUGAUGCCUCUAAUGGACUCCCUUCCUACCACGUUCUUCACAAAGCCUCAUACCACCUACCUGUUUGUUCUUCUGUCGUGUUGUAAGGUGCAGAUGACCCGAUAAGACAUUUGGGAAAUGGCCAGAGCCCUUUAAGGUGAUAUAUUUCCAUUUAAUAUCAUAAAUAUCUCCUUCUCUAAAAGUGAUUGUGAAUUCAAAAGAGGAG